This 301-nucleotide ribosomal RNA is filed under the name uncultured bacterium. RNAcentral describes it as "partial 16S ribosomal RNA". It matches the Rfam family "Bacterial small subunit ribosomal RNA", at positions 509 to 807 of the family's 1533-position model. The record is from RNAcentral.
CAGUAGCCGCGGGAAUACAGAGGGUGCGAGCGUUAAUCGGAUUUACUGGGCGUAAAGCGUGCGUAGGCGGCUUCUUAAGUCGGAUGUGAAAUCCCUGAGCUUAACUUAGGAAUUGCAUUCGAUACUGGGAAGCUAGAGUAUGGGAGAGGAUGGUAGAAUUCCAGGUGUAGCGGUGUAAUGCGUAGAGAUCUGGAGGAAUACCGAUGGCGAAGGCAGCCAUCUGGCCUAAUACUGACGCUGAGGUACGAAAGCAUGGGGAGCAAACAGGAUUAGAUACCCCCGUAGUCCCUGUCUCUUAUAC